This 334-nucleotide unclassified non-coding RNA is filed under the name soil metagenome. Its description in RNAcentral is "partial contains 5.8S ribosomal RNA, internal transcribed spacer 2, and large subunit ribosomal RNA". The stretch from base 1 to 120 matches the Rfam family "5.8S ribosomal RNA", at positions 35 to 154 of the family's 154-position model. The record is from RNAcentral.
GAUGAAGAACGUAGCGAAAUGCGAUAAGUAGUGUGAAUUGCAGAAUUCAGUGAAUCAUCGAAUCUUUGAACGCACAUUGCGCCCCUUGGUAUUCCAUGGGGCAAGCCUGUUCGAGCGUCAUUUGUACCUUCAAGCUCUGCUUGGUGUUGGGUGAUUGUCUAUCUUUAUAGACUCGCCUUAAAGUCAUUGGCAGCCGGCAUAUUGGCCUGGGAGCGCAGCACAAGUCGCGCUUCUUGUCAUGAAUGUUGGCGUUCAGUAGGUCUACAUAUUUUGCUCUUGACCUCGGAUCAGGUAGGGAUACCCGCUGAACUUAAGCAUAUCAAUAAGCGGAGGA